UGGGGAAUAUUGGACAAUGGGCGCAAGCCUGAUCCAGCCAUGCCGCGUGAGUGAUGAAGGCCUUAGGGUUGUAAAGCUCUUUUACCAGGGAAGAUAAUGACGGUACCUGGAGAAUAAGCCCCGGCUAACUUCGUGCCAGCAGCCGCGGUAAUACGAAGGGGGCUAGCGUUGCUCGGAAUCACUGGGCGUAAAGCGCACGUAGGUGGGUCGUUAAGUCGGGGGUGAAAUCCUGGAGCUCAACUCCAGAACUGCCUUCGAUACUGGCGAUCUUGGAGUCCGGUAGGGGUGAGUGGAACUGCGAGUGUAGAGGUGAAAUUCGUAGAUAUUCGCAAGAACACCAGUGGCGAAGGCGGCUCACUGGCCCGGUACUGACACUGAGGUGCGAAAGCGUGGGGAGCAAACA
RNAcentral lists this ribosomal RNA (403 nucleotides) under uncultured bacterium. Its description in RNAcentral is "bacterial SSU rRNA". It matches the Rfam family "Bacterial small subunit ribosomal RNA", at positions 355 to 774 of the family's 1533-position model. The record is from RNAcentral.